AGCGGCGGACGGGUGAGUAACGCGUGGGUAACCUGCCCUGUACACACGGAUAACAUACCGAAAGGUAUGCUAAUACGAGAUAAUAUGCUUUUAUCGCAUGGUAGAAGUAUCAAAGCUUUUGCGGUACAGGAUGGACCCGCGUCUGAUUAGCUAGUUGGUAAGGUAACGGCUUACCAAGGCGACGAUCAGUAGCCGACCUGAGAGGGUGAUCGGCCACAUCGGAACUGAGACACGGUCCAAACUCCUACGGGAGGCAGCAGUGGGGAAUAUUGCACAAUGGGCGAAAGCCUGAUGCCGCAACGCCGCGUGAGCGAUGAAGGCCUUCGGGUCGUAAAGCUCUGUCCUCAGGGAAGAUAAUGACGGUACUUGAGGAGGAAGCCCCGGCUAACUACGUGCCAGCAGCCGCGGUAAUACGUAGGGGGCUAGCGUUAUCCGGAAUUACUGGGCGUAAAGGGUGCGUAGGUGGUUUCUUAAGUCAGAGGUGAAAGGCUACAGCUCAACCGUAGUAAGCCUUUGAAACUGGGAAACUUGAGUGCAGGAGAGGAGAGUGGAAUUCCUAGUGUAGCGGUGAAAUGCGUAGAUAUUAGGAGGAACACCAGUUGCGAAGGCGGCUCUCUGGACUGUAACUGACACUGAGGCACGAAAGCGUGGGGAGCAAACAGGAUUAGAUACCCUGGUAGUCCACGCCGUAAACGAUGAGUACUAGCUGU
RNAcentral lists this ribosomal RNA (710 nucleotides) under uncultured bacterium. RNAcentral's name for it is "bacterial SSU rRNA". It matches the Rfam family "Bacterial small subunit ribosomal RNA", at positions 94 to 823 of the family's 1533-position model. The record is from RNAcentral.